AUGCACGCUGGCGGCGUGCCUAAUACAUGCAAGUCGAGCGAACAGAUAAGGAGCUUGCUCCUUUGACGUUAGCGGCGGACGGGUGAGUAACACGUGGGUAACCUACCUAUAAGACUGGGAUAACUUCGGGAAACCGGAGCUAAUACCGGAUAACAUUUGGAACCGCAUGGUUCUAAAGUGAAAGAUGGUUUUGCUAUCACUUAUAGAUGGACCCGCGCCGUAUUAGCUAGUUGGUAAGGUAACGGCUUACCAAGGCGACGAUACGUAGCCGACCUGAGAGGGUGAUCGGCCACACUGGAACUGAGACACGGUCCAGACUCCUACGGGAGGCAGCAGUAGGGAAUCUUCCGCAAAGGGCGAAAGCCUGACGGAGCAACGCCGCGUGAGUGAUGAAGGGUUUCGGCUCGUAAAACUCUGUUAUUAGGGAAGAACAAACGUGUAAGUAACUGUGCACGUCUUGACGGUACCUAAUCAGAAAGCCACGGCUAACUACGUG
This 496-nucleotide ribosomal RNA is filed under the name uncultured bacterium. RNAcentral describes it as "partial 16S ribosomal RNA". It matches the Rfam family "Bacterial small subunit ribosomal RNA", at positions 29 to 507 of the family's 1533-position model. The record is from RNAcentral.